Non-coding RNA from Danio rerio (zebrafish), 208 nucleotides. NCBI's taxonomy places the organism in Eukaryota, Metazoa, Chordata, Actinopteri, Cypriniformes, Danionidae. The record is from RefSeq and is a predicted model, not a curated record.
UUUGAUAUAACAAACUUCUUGAGCUGAUGGUAAUAACGUGUAACGUUACGUGAUUGUUGAAGUGUCUCCGUCAUCUGAUCCAUUCAGAAAGAAAAGGACAAGCGCGAGAGUAAAGCGCGGAAAAAAAGGAGAAACCCGGCAAAACACAGGAGCGAAAGUGUUUAACAACCUGAAUCAAACUGCCAUGUUUCUCCUUUUUUUCCUCGCU